Monodelphis domestica (gray short-tailed opossum) is the source of this 8328-nucleotide non-coding RNA. The record is from RefSeq and is a predicted model, not a curated record. NCBI's taxonomy places the organism in Eukaryota, Metazoa, Chordata, Mammalia, Didelphimorphia, Didelphidae.
UCACAUAAUAUAAUGCAGUGGGAGCUGGGUGUCACUCUGUUGGUGACAUCAGGGGUCCCUCGAAGUCACUAUACACUUUGGAUCCUGAUGCUUGAGAGACAUCAGUAAUGACAUGAGGAUGAGCCAGAGGUUAGAAACAUCAGAGGACAUUCUGGAAGUGAUGGCUGAGUUCAGAGUAAAGUUUUAGGAUAUGGCCAUUGUGUCCUGUGGCCAUUCACCUUAUUUGUUAACAUUCUCUCCCUCUUCCUUAAUUGAUUGUGUAGGUAGUUAUCUGUGUGCUGUGUAUUCACAAGGAGAAUGGAAGAGUCCAUUUAGAGAAAAAUCCAUUUUGCUUUGAGGUGAGAACCACCAGGGGCUGGCACAGGCUAGGAACUUAUUGGCUGGAAUGGACAGUGCUGCUCUUUUCAUAUGCUUUCCCUUCAAAUCUUAGCGUUCCCCUUUUCUUUGCUACUCAUUCAGUGUAUACUUCUAUAAAAUGAGAAGGGCCAUGUUUUGAACUCACAAAUAGAGCAAAGAGAGAGAGAGAGAAAAGCAAAAAGAAGAGAAAGGCUUUUCUGGGAUCGUUGAGAAUAUAUUGGAAAAGUAAAGUAAGAGAAGAGAAAUUAAGCAUGAAGUAUGUGUGUAUGAGAGAGAACCAGCCAGCCAGCCAGAGACAGGAAGUCAGAGAGAAAAAGAGACAGACACAGACACAGACACAGAUACAGAAACUGAAACAGAGAUAGAGACAGGCGGACAGAGACAAGUUCAGUUCAUUGUUACUUUCUUCAGGCAGCUUUUUCUGAUACCCCUAAUUGUAAGUAGUUUUUCCCUCCUCAAAGUGUCAGGCAUAUACUUUUCUCCAUGCAUAUUUUAUCCUUCAUUUUUCAGCAGAAUGUGAAGGCGAGGACUUUUGUUCAUGGUUUUUCUUGAUGAACAUUGUUUUCCAGUUAUUCAGUUGUGUCCAACUCUUCUUGAUCCCAUGAGCCAUAGCAUGCUAAAGAUGUUCAUAGAAGUUUUUUGGCAGAGAUACUGGAAAGGUUCGCCAUUUCCUUCUCCAAUGGACUGAGGCAAACAGAGGUUAGAGACUUGUCCAGGGACACACAUAGCUAAGUAAAUGUCUGAAACUGGAUUUGAACUCAGGUCUUCCUGACUCCAGCACUCCAUUCAUUGAACCAUCUAACUUCCACUUUCCUUGAACAUAUAAUAUGUUUAAUGAAUGUCUGAUGAAUUGAAAUGUGGCUAAUGGAUAGUUUGGCCCAGUGGAGAGAGCACUGGACUAGAAGUCAUUAAGACCUACCUUAGACACAUACUAACUGUGACACCAUGACUAAGUGGUCCAUCCACAGUUUUUCAUUUGUAAAAUGGAGUCAAUAAAAGCAUCUACUUCUCAGGAUUGUCAUGUAGAUUCAAUGAGAUUGUGUACAUAUAAAUGUUGCUGUAUAUACAUUCACACACAUACACAUACAUAUAUGUAUAUGUUUGUGCAUAAACUUUAAGUCUUAAAACAUGAUACUAAUAGCCAUUAUAAUCAUGGCAUAUUGCCUUCCUAUAGUGUACGUUAUUUGUCUUUGUUUCCCCAGAGGUGCCCAGUGCCCAGGACUUAGUAAGUCCUUUCCAAAUGUUUAGUGACUGAAUGAGAGACAUCAUCUAGAAUUCAUAGCAACAGAUAAGAUGAUGGUGGGAGGGAACAAAGGAAGGAGGGGAGUGAGGGAACACAGAGAGUAUGAAUUUUGCUCUACUAUCCAUGAAAUUUUGGUGAUGAAUAGCUAAAUCACCUUCCUAACUGCUGCCACCCAUUCUAUAUUUCCUUAACUUGUCCUCAGUAAGAGGCUGGCUGAGCCUUGGAUACUCAGCACCUCCCCACCUCCCUCAGGCUCCUCUCUCCUCUGAGCAGAAACUAAGAGCCUCCCAAAGCCUUCCUCUAGAGGUGACAGGAUCUGGACUUGCAACUCGGCUUGGUUUCAGCUCCACAAGACUUGGCCCCUGGUGUCCCUCUUCACCCUUUCCAGCUUCCUUUUAUUUUAAUUGCUGUCUACCAGUAGACUGUAAGUUCCCAACAGGCUGAGGCUGUCUUUCUUUCCCCUGUUUACAUCCCUAGUGCUUAGAAGGCACAGUGCCUAGCACACAGUAGGGGCCUCAUAAAUGCUUAUUAAAUUGUUUGUUUUUCCAAAAGGGAGCAAGCUAUGUCUUUCCCCCUAACCCUGGGCACCAUUUCUGUAGAGAGAUGCAAUUUAAGCUCUGUACAUGAGCUCUCUUAUUAUUUAUGAAAUAAAUUUAUCCCAGCGGCACUCUCAUUUUGGAGCAGGGAAAGCAAUCAGCCAAUGUCUAUCCAUAAGGGCGUAAUCGAAUGACUAAAACCAGUCCCCGUGCUAGUUACAGGCAUAGACAGAAGGCAGCCCGACAGUCAGGCGUUGGUGCUGGUAGCUGACAAUGCCACACACCAUGAUCAUCUGGGAAGCCCUGGAGUGUUCCUUGGAGAUCAAUUUCAGUGAUUUGAUGACAUGUUUCCCCUCACCCACAUCACUCUGCCAUUUCCCCCCUGCUCAUACUUGACCAAACCACAAAUAAAUGCCGAGCCCACCAUUUCAUAUUUCUCCCCUUAAAUGUUCUUCCACUUAUUUUCCUGCUGACUUGGUGUUCUUAGGAACCGAGUACCUUACAAAUGUUAAAGAGGGCAAAUAGUUUCUUUUUUAAUUACUCUCCAAAUAUUUACAUCCUGCAAUACAUCCUGUGAUUACAAUUAUACUUAUCAGCUUUCCAUCCCAACCCAAAUUACUGCAACAUUAAACCUUAUUUGGGGUUAUAAUAGCAACAAGAAAAUGCAACAAUCUUACUUUGCUGAAGAGAAGGAACUUUAUCAUUUAUUAGGUUUACUCGCCAAAGGUUCUUAUGCCUAGAAACAAAUGGGCUAUCCCCCUUUGCUUCCUUCAUGUAAGCUCAAUGUGAAGGGGGUUCAUUGAGUCUUUGAAUUUGUCUCCCAAGCACCUACUUAGCACAAUGUCUGGCACAUGGUAGGUACCUAAUGAAGGCUUGUUUACUGGCAGAUAGAACAUCUGAUGGGAUGUUUAAAAUAAUAGCUACCAUUUAUAUAGUGUUUUAGGUUUUCAAACUCCCUAUGUGACAUUCUCAUUUGGUCUCCCCACCAAAUCUGUAAAGUAGGUGCUUGUACUCAUUUUUUUUUGGAUGAGUAAGUGAAGGUCAAGUAACUUGCCUAGAAGCACAGAAAUUUGAACCCAGGUUUUCCUGACUCCAAGUCUAGCUCUCUAGUUAAUAUGUCACCUGGCUUCCCUAAGAGAGCUAAAGAAAAGAUAGUUUUUCCCCAGUGUUGUUUACUAUAAAUAUCAUAGCCCCGAUAUUCUCUCAGGGCAUUAUUUUCACUUUUUCUUUGUGAUGCCAACCUUUCAGAUUGUACUUGGACAAUAUCUAUAUCUAAUCUAUCUAAAUCUAUAUUUAUAUCUAUAUUUAUUCAUGAAUUUUGCUUGCUUGAUUAAUUGACUGAUUGAUGACUUACUAUAUCAGAAAGUAAUUUAAGGGAAACUUUUACAACAAAUUAUCCUGCCAAGCACCAGGUUAUGGAGUGAAAAGGUAACAGUAGUAGUCUUUGGAGUUAAUUGGCUAAGUAAAUGUUUCUGUAAUUCUAUGCAUUUAAGAUAUUAUUUUUAAAUCAUCUUAACACCAAAAGAGAUUUUUUUCUUAAAAAAUGGAGCUUUCUGUUUCCAGAAUUAUAGAAGUUCAGAGUUGUAAAGGAUAUCAGAUAAUAUCUAGAACAAAAGUAUCAAACAUUUGUCCCUUCAGCAAAGUGGGAAAUAUUUUUAAAUGAAUAAAAAUACAGUGAAACAGAUAAUGUUAAUAUGUAGUUUUCUAAGACAAUAUAUGAUCCCCACAGAUUCUAAUGUAUAGUUUGAGUCUGAUUGAUCUAGACCCAUUUGUGUACAUAAUAUGAAUCCAUUCUACCACUUCUCCACUCUUUGCUUGAAUAGCUCCAGGGAGGGGAAAAGCCCAAGGUAGCUCAUUCUCUCAUUGUUUGGUUUCUCCAUCCACAAAAUCUAACUUUUAUUUUCUGAAAAUUCUAGCCAUUGCUUUUCAUUCUACUAUGUGGUUUAGGGAGAAUAAAUACAAUUUUUAAUAACAAUGACUUCAACUCUUAAAGCCAGCUAUAAUAUACUCCUUAUGUCUUCUUGUUUUUCAUUUUUUCUAGGCUCAAUAUUCUAACAUCCUUCCAACAGAUCUUGUAUUGCAGGAAUCAGUGAGAAAAAACAUAUACUUGAAAGAUUAAAAAAAAUUGGCAGAUGGCACACAUUUCAAAUAUACCGUAUAAUGGAUUUGGGAUCCAAAAGAAUCUCAAAGAGAGAGAGCAUUGGCUGAAUCCAGAGAUGAAAUUCACAAGGGAUCGAUGUAAAGCUUUCCAGUGGCAAAGAACUCAAAACCAAGAUGAGGUUAGCCCAUUGUUAAGACAGCAGGUAAACCAAUUAUGGAAUACAAAUGGGAUGUAAUACUAUUCUGUUUAAGAAAUGAUGAAGGGGAUAGUUUCAGAAAAUCAUGGAAGUCUUGUAUGAAUGAAUGAAGAAAGAAAUGAGAAAAAUCAGGGAAGACAAAUGACUUUGAAAGACUUAAGAACGCUGAUAAAUACAAUAAGCCAUCACAAUUCCAGAGGACCAAUGACAUACCUCUUGGCAGAGAGUUAAUAAAUUCUGAAAUGUGAUUUUUGGACAUUACAAAAGUGGAAAUUCAUUUUUCCAGACAGAGCGUAAGUCUUCAUAACCUUUUGUCUUUCUUUGUUCCUCUUUGACCUGAAAUUGCCUGGUCUCUUGUGUUUUUAUUCCUCAGUGGCUAAGAAUGAUAUCCAUGUUCACAACCUUCUCUGCCUGGGGUCAUAAGUACUAUGGAGGCAAAUCUGAGUGUUAACUGAAAGAGAUCCAGAAGGAAGUGAUGCUAUUAUUUGCUAUUAGGGCAUAAAAUCCCAAGGAGCAAUGAGGAAAUUUGAGUGCAUAGGACGAAAGAAGGCAAAAAUGACAUGGAGAGAAAGUUGUGCUCUGUGUCUGACAAAGCAAAUUCCCACAUUUCUCAUGCUCCAAAAUCACGCUUCAGUUUGUACUUGGCAUUUCUUACCUCUCUGCCAGGAGAUAUGUUCCAGUAUUAUGAUGGUUUAUUUCGUUGAUCAGAGUUCUUAAGUCUUUCAAAAUUGUUUGUCUUCACAAUAUGAAUGAAUAAAUUAGUUCCUUGGUUUUUUUCACUUCUCUCUUCCUCAGUUCAUAUGUCUUCCACAUUUCUCUGAAACUGUCCCCUUCAGGAGUCAAGGCUCAAUAAUCAAAAUAAACUGAGUUCAAAUUCUGCCUCAAAUGCUACCUUUAUGAUUCUGGGUUAUCCAGCCCUGCAGCAGAACAUGCACUAAAGCACCAGAGACUUUAGUUUUCCAACAUUUGAGAGUUUAGACUAAAUGGCCUCUAAGAUCUCUUUUGCAGCUAGGUAGAACCAUAAUGUACAGAUUUCUGGGCCUGGAGUUAGGAAGAGUCUUCUUGUAUUCAAAUCUGGCUUCAGGCACUUACAACCCUGUUUGCCUCAGUUUCCUCAAAAAUUGGAGAAGGAAGUACAUGCUUCUACACUAUCUUUGCCAAGCAAUGCCCAAAUGGUGUAACAAAGAGUCAGAUGUGACUGAAAUGAUUAGAUAACAUCAGCAACAACACCAGUCUCUUUUGGCUCUAAAUCUAUGAAUCUAUGAAACUCAAGUCUAGGGGGGUUAAGGCCCUUGACCAAAGUCAGAUAAAUUGUGGCAGAGGCAGCUGAACUUAUAACUUUUUACUCCACAGUUAAUAGUCUUUCUGAUCCUUCAAGGGGGUUCUUAACUUGGGAUUUGGGGAAUUUUUAAACAUUUUAUUUUUAAAAAAUCCAUAUUGAUAUAAUUAACUUCCUUUGUAAUCCAUGUAUUUAAUUUUAUUCCUUUUAAAAUAUUAUUUUCAGAAGGGGUUCAUAGUUUUAUUAGGUGGCCCAAUGGAUCUAAAAAAAGGAUUGGGGAUCCUGGCAUUGCCCUCUAUUGUUAUCUUUUUUUUUUUAAACCCUUACUUUCCAUCUUGGAGUUAAUACUGUGUAUUGGCUCCAAGGCAGAAGAGUGGUAAGGGCUAGGCCAUGGGGGUCAAGUGACUUGCUCAGGGUCACAUAGCUGGGAAGUGUCUGAAGCCAGAUUUGAACCUAGGACCUCCCUUCUCUAGGCCUGGCUCUCAAUCCACUGAGCUACCCUGCUGCCCCACCUAUUGUUAUCUUAACUGCAUUUUGUCUCAGUUUACAAUGCAGACCAGAAGAAAUGUUGAAGACUUAGGAAUAUCAUGGGAAAAAAUGUGUCCAGUUUCUAAAAAUUUCAAAUCAAUUCUCUGUCUGAUUUUUAAAACAAGGAGAAGGGCAAGAGGCCAAUGUCAUAGAAGUAUAUUAUCUAACUACAAGACUGGGGAGAGGGAAAGAGAAUGAUGAGACCUCAUCCUGUUUUAAACAGACUUGCCUAGAGUAACGCUUACUUGAGUUUUUGCCAGAAAAUGGGCAAGAUGGGUAAUAAAUUUAAUGUUCUCUUUGCUUUGUUCAGAGAAGUGAUUUUAGGGAAUCUAAAAAGAGCACCCAAGUCAGAGCAGUAAGUCAUAGUUUCUAUGUGGAAGAUGAGAACGAAGAAAUAUUGUGAGGGAUGUCAAUGAUGCUACUUCCUCUUUGUUGUCCAUUCUCUGUAGUAAGUGAAAGGCAUCAAUGUUCAAGCAACUUGACUAAAUAUAUUUUCAGACAAGGAGACAAACUCACUAUAUAAUUUCUGCUGCUGUUUUCUUGCAGCCACAAUCUUUCCAUUUUUUGAGCUGCUUUAACCCUUCCUGUCAACAUCCAAGUCUUAAGGCUUUAAAUAGCAUGUGGAAAACCAUGUUGGCACUGGACAGUAAACCUUGCCUAGAUUACUCGAAGGGAGCUUCCCCGGCAGGAAUCAGAGCUGAAUUCCAGAAGUCUCUAGCAAAGAGCCCAUUAUUAGAGUUGUUCAAUGAAGUUCACUCAGAAAAUGCUUAUUAUGCACCUACUAUGUGGCAUACAAGUUUCUGGUCUGCGUCAUGGGACUGUAGAUUUGGCUGAGGACACACAGUAUGGAUACAGACCAUCAAAGACAGAAGAAAGUCAACGCAACUCAAAUUCUGUGAGGGAAGGACCCUAGCAAUUAUGAGAAGCAGUCUAGGAAGGAGUGCCUGAGCAGAGCUUUAAAUGUACCUAGAGGUUAUUAGGAGCAGAGGUGAUGAGAGAGGUUAGCCAGGGGAAAGGCAGAGACAUGGAGAUGGAAUGUUUCGCAUAGAGAACAGGAAGUAGACUCCUUUGACUGGAAAAGAGAGCACACGAAGGGGACCUGCAUGCACAAAGCGCAGAAGAUGGGCUGGUACCAGAUCAAUGAGGGUAGGACUUCUAGUGCCACAAAGGUGACCGGAUUUUCCUUAGGAGCUCUGGGAGGAGCCAUUGGAUCAGAAGAGUGGAGGGCACUUGUAAGGAAAAGUCUUUGUAAACUCUAAAGCUUUGUAAAAAUAUUGGCUAUUAUAAAAUGAGUUAUCCAGCUCUUUUUCUGCCUUAUGAAUACAGUUGAAAGUAAACAUAUCUCCACGUAAGUGUACAUAUCUGUGCAGAUUUCAUGUAUACACACAUUUGAAUAUUUCACAUAACAACUGUGUACCCAAUUUGUUCGAUUCAUAUAGCAACCUGACAUUGUUUUAUUGUUAUAAAGAUGAAACUGAGGAACAUGAUUUCCUUUUUUUAGUGGAAAGAAAAAGAUCAUUUAAAAAUAAAUGAGAACAGAAUUAUGGUAGAGAGUGUCAGGCCCAAACCAGAUCAUCUCUCAAGUGACAGAGUUCAAAGACAUGAUGAGAGAAUUUUAUUUUGAAGUUGUACUCUUCAGCUGUGAGGGUGCCUAAUAAAGAGCCCAAUUAACCAUGCCAAAGGAGCAGUCAUUGAGUCCUCCACCACUUUAAGGCAUCCCAGAAGCCCUGGCUCACCAUUAUCAGGUUGUUAAAACCUGGGAGGUUGUUUGUUUUUAGUUUCUUUUCCCCCCCUUUUUAAUUAAGGGAUUAAACAAAGGGGUGUACUGAAAAGCUGACUCCAUAGUCACAGUCUCAAGGAGUAGAGAGGAAUGAAAAAGAAGAAGCUAUAUGAGGUUGUGGUCUAUUGAUGAAAUGAGAAAACUGGGUUCAAGUCCUACUUCUGAUCCUUCAGAGUCAUGUGCCCCUGAGCAAGUCAUGUAACCUUUCUGAGCCUCAGGACACUCCCAAAGAUCCAAAGUUUCCAAUGGACUAUGGUCUCUGUGGAGUGACUUUGUCACUAACAAAGGCAUGACAUCAAACAUGAGAA